GCGCACCGGAGACACUAUUGAACUCUGUCUGAAGAUUGCAGUCUGAGCAUAAACUAAAUAAGUUAAAACUUUCAACAACGGAUCUCUUGGCUCUCGCAUCGAUGAAGAACGCAGCGAUAUGUGACAAGUAAUAUGAAUUGCAGAAUUCAGUGAAUCAUCGAAUCUUUGAACGCAUCUUGCACUCCUUGGUAUUCCGAGGAGUAUGUCUGUUUGAGUGUCAUGAAUUCUUCAACCCUCCCUUUUCUUAGUGAAUCGAGAGGUGUUUGGAUUCUGAGUGUUGCUCCUAAAUCGAGCUCAUUCGUAAUGCAUUAGCAUCCAUAUUCGAAUUUCGGAUUGACUUGGCGUAAUAGACUAUUCGCUGAGGAAUCUAACUUCGGUUAGAGCCGGAUUUGAACUAGGAAGCUUAUAAUCUAGCUUAGUCUACUUUAAGUUUAGACCUCAAAUCAGAUAG
This 451-nucleotide ribosomal RNA is filed under the name uncultured fungus. RNAcentral describes it as "eukaryotic LSU rRNA". The stretch from base 67 to 220 matches the Rfam family "5.8S ribosomal RNA". The record is from RNAcentral. Lineage: Eukaryota; Fungi.